GUAGUCUGCAACUCGACUACAUGAAGCUGGAAUCGCUAGUAAUCGCGAAUCAGAAUGUCGCGGUGAAUACGUUCCCGGGUCUUGUACACACCGCCCGUCACACCAUGGGAGUCGGAUAUGCCCGAAGUCAGUGACCCAACCAUAUGGAGGGAGCUGCCGAAGGUGGAGCCGAUAACUGGGGUGAAGUCGUAACAAGGUAGC
RNAcentral lists this ribosomal RNA (201 nucleotides) under uncultured bacterium. RNAcentral's name for it is "partial 16S ribosomal RNA". It matches the Rfam family "Bacterial small subunit ribosomal RNA", at positions 1300 to 1500 of the family's 1533-position model. The record is from RNAcentral.